RNA transcript from Cucumis melo (muskmelon), 2145 nucleotides. RefSeq lists it as uncharacterized. The transcript is spliced from 2 exons. NCBI's taxonomy places the organism in Eukaryota, Viridiplantae, Streptophyta, Magnoliopsida, Cucurbitales, Cucurbitaceae. The record is from RefSeq and is a predicted model, not a curated record.
AAAAAAAGAAGAAGAGUAGAAUUAGAAGAAUGAAGGGGCAGCAAGGGAACCGACCUUGUUGGAGUGGAAGCUAAGGAAACUCAAAGCGAGGGCGUGCCUGAGGCUGAGGCCGAGGCUGACCCUUUUUCACACGGACUUGGAAUUAAAAUUCAAUUCGGUUUAGUUUUUUUUUUUAGACUAUAAAUACCACGCGUCCGGCUUUCCUAAGUUCUCCGUUCCUCUUUGUUUGUAAUAUCAAUCGUAUAUGUUGAUUAGGGUGAAGACGAAGCUUCAAUGACCAAUAUCCCUUCCUCCUUCACUCAUUCCUCUUUCACUCUCUUCACCCUCGCAAUCUCUUCUUACCAUCCUUGGCCUUUUUCUCUUUAACAUCUACCUUAACUUUCUGCCUUUUCCGAUGGGUUUCGGCGGCGACAAGCAUCAUCAGCACCUCCUGCAUCUGAAUUUCCAUUUCCACAUUCAUUUUCCUCAUUUUCACCACCAUCGGAACAAGGUGGAGACUCCCAAAGGAUGUUUGGCCAUUCUUGUUGGCCAAGAGCAACAGCGGUUCGUCAUUCCUGUCAUUUAUGUCAACCAUCCUUUAUUUGUUCAGCUCUUGAAGGAGGCCGAGGACGAGUAUGGCUUCGAUCAGAAAGGACCAAUCUCUAUUCCUUGCCCUGUCGACGACUUUCGCACCCUUCAGGGCAUUAUUCACCAUGAUCACCAUCACCACCAUCUUCCUGUCUCCUGUUUCAGGGAUUCUUCUCAUUCCCAUUGCUGAUAUUGAUGAAAAAACUACGUUAGAUUUUAGUUUUAGCUUUUCUUUCUUUCAUUAUUGGUUUUCUGAUACACAUAACCCAUUACCAAUUCAUGCGUUUCCAUUGAUUUCUGAAUUUGGAUUUUCUCCUGUUAAUAUAUUGUCACGGUCAAGUCAACAUUGAAUGCGGUAUCAUAUAUGCUAUAUGAGCCUUUUUCAGCCAUGUUCUUUCUUAUAAUUAAAAUGAUGUAAUCAGAACUAUCUGGAAUGAAUAUUUGUUUGUUUAAAUUGGAAGUUUUAAAAUGAUGAUGACAUCUAUGUGAAGGGAAAAGGGGUGGAUGAAUGGAGAUUGCUUUGCUUGCAAGGGUGUAAUAGCUUUUUAAUUUAUUCUUUCUGGCAAUGGCGAGCUUUGGUGCACGCGUCUUUCUCUGUAAAUUAAACCGCAUUUGAAUAACGUAAAGUCAAAUUCUCUUUUAAAAAGAUUAUUAUGCUUCUUCCACUUACAAUAUUGCAUUGCAGAUGCCAUCGUUGACUUCUUCCAACCUUGUCCAUCCAUCCACACCCCACAUGCUCGAGUGGCAAUGCUUUCCCAUCCUGCAACAGCCUCCAGUUGAUGUACACUGAUUGCAGCUGCGCAGAACUCCUCGAAGUCCAUUCUCUCACGAGCGAGUGGUUCCAUCUUAACACAAGUUGGAAAUGUUAGUGAAAAAGAACAUCCCAGGCCGGGGCAGGGGAAGCAUUAUGCCAAAGUUGCAGAGAAUGUAACUUGAUCUCGGUGUAUGCAGACAGGGCCCUAUUCUCACUGGCAACCAUAUUAUAGAUAUAAAACUAAAAGUGAACUCACCAUUUUUAGAAUGUCAGCAACAUGGGACUCUCUCAUUGCAUCAGUUGCGUUUCUCGCAAGAGCCUGUACAAGGUCAUAAUGUGUAUUGCAUCAAACACAAUUACAGAUAAAUGUCAAAGCAAAAAUAAUGGCAAAAGGCUGACCGCUUUGAAGUUAUCAAGGGUCACAAAUCUAUUUUGCGGUUCUAAGAGCUUAAAUUGGGUCCUGAGGUAGAAAAGUUCAUCUUCUGUCAAAGCUUUUGCAAGUGCCUGCGAUAAUGAAACAGUAAGUAGACCUGUCCAGUAAAAGUUGAUGAUGCAUUAUUGUGCACGAAACAAUGUACAGAAACUACAUAGCAAGAGCGUCUAUAUCAAAGAUAGGCGAUAGAUCACCAGUGCUUGGAUACAGAAUUACGCACAGAAACUUCUAAGAUUGAUGCAAGGGGGAACUGCUGGAGUUCAACUUUUGUACAGUUCAGUUUAGCAAUUACCUUCAAUGCUGCACGCUUGAAAGGAGUUGCACGGAUAUAUGCUUUAACUGACUUGUAUAUGAAGUUAUCCAAAGGCACAGCAAUGUUUUCAUCUCGUAA